Molecule: ribosomal RNA, 301 nt
Filed under: uncultured bacterium
Lineage: Bacteria
Description: partial 16S ribosomal RNA
Rfam family: Bacterial small subunit ribosomal RNA
Source: RNAcentral
CAGUCGCCACGGUAAUACAGAGGGUGCGAGCGUUAAUCGGAUUUACUGGGCGUAAAGCGUGCGUAGGCGGCUUUUUAAGUCGGAUGUGAAAUCCCUGAGCUUAACUUAGGAAUUGCAUUCGAUACUGGGAAGCUAGAGUAUGGGAGAGGAUGGUAGAAUUCCAGGUGUAGCGGUGAAAUGCGUAGAGAUCUGGAGGAAUACCGAUGGCGAAGGCAGCCAUCUGGCCUAAUACUGACGCUGAGGCACGAAAGCGUGGGGAGCAAACAGGAUUAGAUACCCGCGUAGUCCCUGUCUCUUAUAA